GCUGGGCAUGGUGGCUCAUGCCUGUAAUCCCAGCACUUUGGGAGGCAGAGGUGAGUGGAUCACUUGAGGUCAGGAGUUCGAGACUAGCCUGGCCAACAUGGUGAAACCUCGUCUCUA
RNAcentral lists this non-coding RNA (117 nucleotides) under Gorilla gorilla gorilla (western lowland gorilla). Lineage: Eukaryota; Metazoa; Chordata; Mammalia; Primates; Hominidae. The record is from Rfam by way of RNAcentral.